ACCCGAGAGGGGAGUGAAAUAGAUUCUGAAACCAUUUACUUACAAGUAGUCAGAGCACGUUAAAGUGUGAUGGCGUACAUCUUGCAGUAUGGGCCCGGCGAGUUAUGUUAAUAUGCAAGGUUAAGCAGAAAAAAGCGGAGCCCGUAGGGGAAACCGAGUCUGAAUAGGGCGACUUUAGUAUAUUGGCAUAUACCCGAAACCAGGUGAUCUAUCCAUGAGCAGGUUGAAGCUUAGGUAAAACUAAGUGGAGGACCGAACCCGUAGUACGCUAAAAAGUGCCCGGAUGACUUGUGGAUAGCGGUGAAAUUCCAAUCGAACCUGGAGAUAGCUAGUUCUCUUCGAAAUAGCUUUAGGGCUAGCCGUAUAGUAUUGUUUAAUGGGGGUAGAGCACUGAAUGUGGAAUGGCGGCAUCUAGCUUGACUGACUAUAAUCAAACUCCGAAUACCAUUAAAAUUAAGCUAUGCAGUCGGAACGUGGGUGAUAACGGUCCACGCUUGCGAGGGAAACAACCCAGAUCGUCAGCUAAGGUCCCAAAAUUGUGUUAAGUGAGAAAGGUUGUGAGAUUUCAUAACCACUUAGGAAGUUGGUUUAGAAGCAGCCACCUUUUUAAAGAGUGGGUAAUUGCUCACUAGUCAAAGAUUCUUGCGCCAAUAAUGAACGGACUCAAACACAAUACCGAAGCUACGGGCACAUUAUGUGCGGUUAGGAGAGCGGUUUUAAUUUCGUUUAAAGUCAGCCCGUUAAGGACUGGUGAAGAGAUUAAAAGUGAGAAUGCCGGCAUGAGUAACGAUUCGAAGUGAGAAUCUUCGACGCCUAUUGGGAAAGGUUUCCUGGGCAAGGUUCGUCCACCCAGGGUUAGUCAG
Molecule: ribosomal RNA, 863 nt
Filed under: Mesomycoplasma hyorhinis
Lineage: Bacteria; Bacillati; Mycoplasmatota; Mycoplasmoidales; Metamycoplasmataceae
Description: bacterial LSU rRNA
Rfam family: Bacterial large subunit ribosomal RNA
Source: RNAcentral